This 253-nucleotide ribosomal RNA is filed under the name uncultured bacterium. RNAcentral's name for it is "partial 16S ribosomal RNA". It matches the Rfam family "Bacterial small subunit ribosomal RNA", at positions 524 to 776 of the family's 1533-position model. The record is from RNAcentral.
UACGAAGGGGGCUAGCGUUGCUCGGAAUCACUGGGCGUAAAGCGCACGUAGGCGGCUCUUUAAGUCAGGGGUGAAAUCCUGGAGCUCAACUCCAGAACUGCCUUUGAUACUGGGGAUCUCGAGUCCGGGAGAGGUGAGUGGAACUCCGAGUGUAGAGGUGAAAUUCGUAGAUAUUCGGAAGAACACCAGUGGCGAAGGCGGGUCUCUGGGCCGACACUGACGCUGAGGAGCGAAGGCGUGGGGAGCGAACAGG